GACUUACAUCUCUUCGGAGCAUUUUACGUAGGUGCUGCAUGGUUGUCGUCAGCUCGUGCCGUGAGGUGUCGGUUAAGUCCCAUAACGAGCGCAACCCUACCUUUAGUUGCCAUCAGGUAAUGCUGGGGACUCUAAAGGAACUGCCUACGCAAGUAGUGAGGAAGCGGGGAUGACGUCAAAUCAGCACGGCCCUUACGUCCAGGGCUACACACGUGCUACAAUGGCCGAUACAGAGGGCAGCUACCUGGUGACAGGAUGCAAAUCUCCAAAGUCGGUCUCAGUUCGGAUCGGAGUCUGCAACCCGACUCCGUGAAGUUGGAUUCACUAGUAAUCGCGCAUCAGCCAUGGCGCGGUGAAUACGUUCCCGGGCCUU
This 373-nucleotide ribosomal RNA is filed under the name uncultured Sphingobacteriales bacterium. RNAcentral describes it as "bacterial SSU rRNA". It matches the Rfam family "Bacterial small subunit ribosomal RNA", at positions 1007 to 1382 of the family's 1533-position model. Lineage: Bacteria; Pseudomonadati; Bacteroidota; Sphingobacteriia; Sphingobacteriales. The record is from RNAcentral.